RNAcentral lists this ribosomal RNA (253 nucleotides) under uncultured bacterium. RNAcentral describes it as "partial 16S ribosomal RNA". It matches the Rfam family "Bacterial small subunit ribosomal RNA", at positions 524 to 776 of the family's 1533-position model. The record is from RNAcentral.
UACGAAGGGGGCUAGCGUUGUUCGGAUUAACUGGGCGUAAAGCGCACGUAGGCGGAUUAUUAAGUCAGGGGUGAAAUCCCGGGGCUCAACCUCGGAACUGCCUUUGAUACUGGUAAUCUCGAGUCCGGAAGAGGUGAGUGGAAUUCCUAGUGUAGAGGUGAAAUUCGUAGAUAUUAGGAAGAACACCAGUGGCGAAGGCGGCUCACUGGUCCGGUACUGACGCUGAGGUGCGAAAGCGUGGGGAGCAAACAGG